Hemiscyllium ocellatum (epaulette shark) is the source of this 104-nucleotide small nuclear RNA. The record is from RefSeq and is a predicted model, not a curated record. Lineage: Eukaryota; Metazoa; Chordata; Chondrichthyes; Orectolobiformes; Hemiscylliidae.
UUGCUCGCUCCGGCAGCACAUAUACUAAAAUUGGAACGAUACAGAGAUUAGCAUGGCCCCUUCGCAAUGAUGACACACAAAUUUGUGAAGCAUUUCAUAUUUUU